AUCGUAACUCCUGUCAGGCGGGACGAAAAGGACGUCGGUUAACAGCCGGCGUCUCUGACGGUACCGCCAGAGGAAGCCCGGCUAACUCCGUGC
RNAcentral lists this ribosomal RNA (93 nucleotides) under uncultured bacterium. RNAcentral's name for it is "partial 16S ribosomal RNA". The record is from RNAcentral.